RNAcentral lists this ribosomal RNA (462 nucleotides) under uncultured bacterium. RNAcentral describes it as "partial 16S ribosomal RNA". It matches the Rfam family "Bacterial small subunit ribosomal RNA", at positions 28 to 507 of the family's 1533-position model. The record is from RNAcentral.
GACGAACGCUGGCGGCGUGCUUAACACAUGCAAGUCGAACGGAAAGGCCCUUCGGGGUCCUCGAGUGGCGAACGGGUGAGUAACACGUGGGUGAUCUGCCCUGCACUUUGGGAUAAGCCUGGGAAACUGGGUCUAAUACCGAAUAGGACCACGCGCUUCAUGGUGUGUGGUGGAAAGCUUUUGCGGUGUGGGAUGGGCCCGCGGCCUAUCAGCUUGUUGGUGGGGUAAUGGCCUACCAAGGCGACGACGGGUAGCCGGCCUGAGAGGGUGACCGGCCACACUGGGACUGAGAUACGGCCCAGACUCCUACGGGAGGCAGCAGUGGGGAAUAUUGCACAAUGGGCGCAAGUCUGAUGCAGCGACGCCGCGUGAGGGAUGACGGCCUUCGGGUUGUAAACCUCUUUCAAUAGGGACGAAGCGCAAGUGACGGUACCUAUAGAAGAAGCACCGGCCAACUACGUG